GAUGAACGCUGGCGGCGUGCUUAACACAUGCAAGUCGAACGAAGUGGCGGACGGGUGAGUAACGCGUGGGUAACCUGCCUUGUACAGGGGGAUAACAGUUGGAAACGGCUGCUAAUACCGCAUAGUAUAAGAUGGACCCGCGUUGGAUUAGCUAGUUGGUGAGGUAACGGCCCACCAAGGCGACGAUCCAUAGCCGACCUGAGAGGGUGACCGGCCACAUUGGGACUGAGACACGGCCCAAACUCCUACGGGAGGCAGCAGUGGGGAAUAUUGCACAAUGGGCGAAAGCCUGAUGCAGCGACGCCGCGUGAGCGAAGAAGUAUUUCGGUAUGUAAAGCUCUAUCAGCAGGGAAGCGGUACCUGACUAAGAAGCACCGGCUAAAUACGUGCCAGCAGCCGCGGUAAUACGUAUGGUGCAAGCGUUAUCCGGAUUUACUGGGUGUAAAGGGAGCGCAGGCGGUGCGGCAAGUCUGAUGUGAAAGCCCGGGGCUCAACCCCGGUACUGCAUUGGAAACUGUCGUACUAGAGUGUCGGAGGGGUAAGCGGAAUUCCUAGUGUAGCGGUGAAAUGCGUAGAUAUUAG
This 582-nucleotide ribosomal RNA is filed under the name uncultured bacterium. RNAcentral's name for it is "bacterial SSU rRNA". It matches the Rfam family "Bacterial small subunit ribosomal RNA", at positions 28 to 700 of the family's 1533-position model. The record is from RNAcentral.